AAAACUCUGUUGUGAAGACGAUGAAGAUUUUAAAGAAGAUGAACAGAACUGAUCUGGUGCAGAAGUUGUUGGAGACCAGCUCAAGUUUCAAAAAGAAACGCUCAGAUGAACCACGCUCUGUCCUGUUGGAGAAAGCAGCAACAAUGGCAGCUGUUAAAGAGCUGCUUUUGGAAAUCCUGCAUUCUUUAAAUGACGGG
This is a non-coding RNA of Labrus bergylta (ballan wrasse), 197 nucleotides long. Lineage: Eukaryota; Metazoa; Chordata; Actinopteri; Labriformes; Labridae. The record is from RefSeq and is a predicted model, not a curated record.